Molecule: ribosomal RNA, 460 nt
Filed under: uncultured bacterium
Lineage: Bacteria
Description: partial 16S ribosomal RNA
Rfam family: Bacterial small subunit ribosomal RNA
Source: RNAcentral
CCUACGGGGGGCAGCAGUGAGGAAUAUUGGUCAAUGGCCGGAAGGCUGAACCAGCCAAGCCGCGUGAAGGACGAAGGUGCCAAGCAUUGUAAACUUCUUUUGUCAAGGGACAAAAUCAGGCUCGAGAGCCUGACCGAGGGUACUUGAAGAAAAAGCAUCGGCUAACUCCGUGCCAGCAGCCGCGGUAAUACGGAGGAUGCGAGCGUUAUCCGGAUUUAUUGGGUGUAAAGGGUGCGUAGGCGGACUGUUAAGUCAGCGGUGAAAGUUUGUGGCUCAACCAUAAAAUUGCCGUUGAAACUGGUUGACUUGAGUAUAUUUGAGGUAGGCGGAAUGCGUGGUGUAGCGGUGAAAUGCAUAGAUAUAACGCAGAACUCCGAUUGCGAAGGCAGCUUACUAAACUAUAACUGACACUGAAGCACGAAAGCGUGGGGAGCAAACAGGAUUAGAUACCCGGGUAGUC